This is a long non-coding RNA of Gopherus flavomarginatus (Mexican gopher tortoise), 495 nucleotides long. RefSeq lists it as uncharacterized. The record is from RefSeq and is a predicted model, not a curated record. The transcript is spliced from 3 exons. NCBI's taxonomy places the organism in Eukaryota, Metazoa, Chordata, Testudines, Testudinidae.
GUAUGUCUACAUCUACAAUUUUGCAGCGCUGGUUGUUACAGUUGUAUUAGUACAGCUGUAUAGGGCCAGCGCUGCAGAGUGGUCACACUUACAGCAACCAGCGCUGCAAGUGGUGUUAGAUGUGGCCACACUGCAGCGCUGUUGGGCGGCUUCAAGGGGGGUUAGGGGAACGCGAGAGCAAACCGCGGGGAAGCAGGUCUCCUUCCCCGCGGUUUGCUCCAGUGUUCCCCGAACACCCCCCUCCCAAGCAGGUCUCCUUCCCCACGGUUUGUUCUCGCGUUCCCCGAACCCCCGUGCAAGCAGGUCUCCUUCCCAGCUGUUUGCUCCGGUGUUUUUUGAACCCCCGUGCAAGCAGAUCUCCUUCCCCGCGGUGUGCUGUCGCGUUCCCCGAACCCCCGUGCAAGCAGGUCUCCUUCCCAGCGGUUUGCUCCGGUGUUCCCCAAACCCCCCUGCAAGCAGGUCUCCUUCCCUGCGGUUUGCUCUGGUGUUUUUUGA